RNAcentral lists this ribosomal RNA (253 nucleotides) under uncultured bacterium. RNAcentral's name for it is "partial 16S ribosomal RNA". It matches the Rfam family "Bacterial small subunit ribosomal RNA", at positions 524 to 776 of the family's 1533-position model. The record is from RNAcentral.
UACGUAGGGUGCGAGCGUUAAUCGGAAUUACUGGGCGUAAAGCGUGCGCAGGCGGUUCGCCAAGUCAGGGGUGAAAUCCCCGGGCUUAACCUGGGAAUUGCGCUUGAAACUAGCGGGCUUGAGUGUGGCAGAGGGGGGUGGAAUUCCACGUGUAGCAGUGAAAUGCGUAGAGAUGUGGAGGAACACCGAUGGCGAAGGCAGCCCCCUGGGUCAACACUGACGCUCAUGCACGAAAUCGUGGGGAGCAAACAGG